UACAACCCGAAGGCCGUCAUCCCCCACGCGGCGUCGCUGCAUCAGGCUUGCGCCCAUUGUGCAAUAUUCCCCACUGCUGCCUCCCGUAGGAGUCUGGGCCGUAUCUCAGUCCCAGUGUGGCCGGUCACCCUCUCAGGCCGGCUACCCGUCGUCGCCUUGGUAGGCCAUUACCCCACCAACAAGCUGAUAGGCCGCGGGCCCAUCCCACACCGCAAAAGCUUUCCACCACACACCAUGAAGCAUGCGGUCAUAUUCGGUAUUAGACCCAGUUUCCCAGGCUUAUCCCAAAGUGCAGGGCAGAUCACCCACGUGUUACUCACCCGUUCGCCACUCGAGCACCCCGAAGGGCCUUUCCGUUCGACUUGCAUGUGUUAAGCACGCCGCCAGCGUUCGUCCUGAGCCAGGAU
This 407-nucleotide ribosomal RNA is filed under the name Mycobacterium sp. 5BR6. Its description in RNAcentral is "partial 16S ribosomal RNA". Lineage: Bacteria; Bacillati; Actinomycetota; Actinomycetes; Mycobacteriales; Mycobacteriaceae. The record is from RNAcentral.